CCCUUAGAUGUUCUGGGCGGCCCGCGCACUACAUUGGCACUGGCAACAAGAUCCUAGAUCUGAUAUUUCGGGGUAUUCUACCAACUGGUGUCGUGACUGGGAUUAACCCCUGCAAUUAUUGGUUAUGAACGAGGAAUUCCUUGUAAUCACGGUUUAUCAACCCGUGUUGAAUGCGUCCCUGCCCUUUGUACACACCGCCCGUCGCUCCUACCGAUGAAUCGUCCGGUGAAGUUCAUGGAGUCGCGGCUGCUCCAGCUGUUUUCGAAGUGAAAUGGACCUCAUGAUUUAGAGGAAGGAGAANUCGUANCA
This 309-nucleotide ribosomal RNA is filed under the name uncultured eukaryote. RNAcentral describes it as "partial 18S ribosomal RNA". It matches the Rfam family "Eukaryotic small subunit ribosomal RNA", at positions 1470 to 1796 of the family's 1831-position model. The record is from RNAcentral.